GAUGAACGCUGGCGGCGUGCCUAAUACAUGCAAGUCGAGCGAACAGACGAGGAGCUUGCUCCUCUGACGUUAGCGGCGGACGGGUGAGUAACACGUGGAUAACCUACCUAUAAGACUGGGAUAACUUCGGGAAACCGGAGCUAAUACCGGAUAAUAUAUUGAACCGCAUGGUUCAAUAGUGAAAGACGGUUUUGCUGUCACUUAUAGAUGGAUCCGCGCCGCAUUAGCUAGUUGGUAAGGUAACGGCUUACCAAGGCGACGAUGCGUAGCCGACCUGAGAGGGUGAUCGGCCACACUGGAACUGAGACACGGUCCAGACUACUACGGGAGGCAGCAGUAGGGAAUCUUCCGCAAUGGGCGAAAGCCUGACGGAGCAACGCCGCGUGAGUGAUGAAGGUCUUCGGAUCGUAAAACUCUGUUAUUAGGGAAGAACAAAUGUGUAAGUAACUAGGCACGUCUUGACGGUACCUAAUCAGAAAGCAACGGCUAACUACGUG
Molecule: ribosomal RNA, 497 nt
Filed under: uncultured bacterium
Lineage: Bacteria
Description: partial 16S ribosomal RNA
Rfam family: Bacterial small subunit ribosomal RNA
Source: RNAcentral